Small nuclear RNA from Otolemur garnettii (small-eared galago), 103 nucleotides. The record is from Ensembl. NCBI's taxonomy places the organism in Eukaryota, Metazoa, Chordata, Mammalia, Primates, Galagidae.
GUGCUUCAGCAGCACAUAUACUAAUAUUGCAGCAAUACAGACAAGAUUAGCAUGGCCACUGUGCAAGGAUGACAUGCAAAUUCAUGAAUUGUUCCAUAUAUGU